This 65-nucleotide transfer RNA is filed under the name Barleria prionitis. RNAcentral describes it as "tRNA-Ser". It matches the Rfam family "tRNA". Rfam says of the family: Transfer RNA (tRNA) molecules are approximately 80 nucleotides in length. The record is from RNAcentral. Lineage: Eukaryota; Viridiplantae; Streptophyta; Magnoliopsida; Lamiales; Acanthaceae. RNAcentral also lists the same sequence under 4 other names.
AGCGGGUAUAGUUUAGUGGUAAAAGUGUGAUUUAACGAUGCGGGUUCGAUUCCCGCUACCCGCUU